This 2900-nucleotide ribosomal RNA is filed under the name Klebsiella pneumoniae. RNAcentral describes it as "bacterial LSU rRNA". It matches the Rfam family "Bacterial large subunit ribosomal RNA". The record is from RNAcentral. Lineage: Bacteria; Pseudomonadati; Pseudomonadota; Gammaproteobacteria; Enterobacterales; Enterobacteriaceae.
UUAAGCGACUAAGCGUACACGGUGGAUGCCCUGGCAGUCAGAGGCGAUGAAGGACGUGCUAAUCUGCGAAAAGCGUCGGUAAGGUGAUAUGAACCGUUAUAGCCGGCGAUGUCCGAAUGGGGAAACCCAGUGCAAUUCGUUGCACUAUCGUUAACUGAAUACAUAGGUUAACGAGGCGAACCGGGGGAACUGAAACAUCUAAGUACCCCGAGGAAAAGAAAUCAACCGAGAUUCCCCCAGUAGCGGCGAGCGAACGGGGAGCAGCCCAGAGUCUGAAUCAGCUUGUGUGUUAGUGGAACGGUCUGGAAAGUCCGACGGUACAGGGUGAUAGUCCCGUACACCAAAAUGCACAGGCUGUGAACUCGAAGAGUAGGGCGGGACACGUGGUAUCCUGUCUGAAUAUGGGGGGACCAUCCUCCAAGGCUAAAUACUCCUGACUGACCGAUAGUGAACCAGUACCGUGAGGGAAAGGCGAAAAGAACCCCGGCGAGGGGAGUGAAAAAGAACCUGAAACCGUGUACGUACAAGCAGUGGGAGCACCUUCGGGUGUGACUGCGUACCUUUUGUAUAAUGGGUCAGCGACUUAUAUUCUGUAGCAAGGUUAACCGUAUAGGGGAGCCGCAGGGAAACCGAGUCUUAACUGGGCGUUAAGUUGCAGGGUAUAGACCCGAAACCCGGUGAUCUAGCCAUGGGCAGGUUGAAGGUUGGGUAACACUAACUGGAGGACCGAACCGACUAAUGUUGAAAAAUUAGCGGAUGACUUGUGGCUGGGGGUGAAAGGCCAAUCAAACCGGGAGAUAGCUGGUUCUCCCCGAAAGCUAUUUAGGUAGCGCCUCGUGAACUCAUCUUCGGGGGUAGAGCACUGUUUCGGCUAGGGGGUCAUCCCGACUUACCAACCCGAUGCAAACUACGAAUACCGAAGAAUGUUAUCACGGGAGACACACGGCGGGUGCUAACGUCCGUCGUGAAGAGGGAAACAACCCAGACCGCCAGCUAAGGUCCCAAAGUCAUGGUUAAGUGGGAAACGAUGUGGGAAGGCACAGACAGCCAGGAUGUUGGCUUAGAAGCAGCCAUCAUUUAAAGAAAGCGUAAUAGCUCACUGGUCGAGUCGGCCUGCGCGGAAGAUGUAACGGGGCUAAACCAUGCACCGAAGCUGCGGCAGCGACACUAUGUGUUGUUGGGUAGGGGAGCGUUCUGUAAGCCUGCGAAGGUGUGCUGUGAGGCAUGCUGGAGGUAUCAGAAGUGCGAAUGCUGACAUAAGUAACGAUAAAGCGGGUGAAAAGCCCGCUCGCCGGAAGACCAAGGGUUCCUGUCCAACGUUAAUCGGGGCAGGGUGAGUCGACCCCUAAGGCGAGGCCGAAAGGCGUAGUCGAUGGGAAACAGGUUAAUAUUCCUGUACUUGGUGUUACUGCGAAGGGGGGACGGAGAAGGCUAUGUUAGCCGGGCGACGGUUGUCCCGGUUUAAGCAUGUAGGCUGGUUAUCCAGGCAAAUCCGGAUAAUCAAGGCUGAGGUGUGAUGACGAGGCACUACGGUGCUGAAGUAACAAAUGCCCUGCUUCCAGGAAAAGCCUCUAAGCAUCAGGUAACAUCAAAUCGUACCCCAAACCGACACAGGUGGUCAGGUAGAGAAUACCAAGGCGCUUGAGAGAACUCGGGUGAAGGAACUAGGCAAAAUGGUGCCGUAACUUCGGGAGAAGGCACGCUGGUGUGUAGGUGAAGUCCCUGCGGAUGGAGCUGAGACCAGUCGAAGAUACCAGCUGGCUGCAACUGUUUAUUAAAAACACAGCACUGUGCAAACACGAAAGUGGACGUAUACGGUGUGACGCCUGCCCGGUGCCGGAAGGUUAAUUGAUGGGGUUAUCCGUAAGGAGAAGCUCUUGAUCGAAGCCCCGGUAAACGGCGGCCGUAACUAUAACGGUCCUAAGGUAGCGAAAUUCCUUGUCGGGUAAGUUCCGACCUGCACGAAUGGCGUAAUGAUGGCCAGGCUGUCUCCACCCGAGACUCAGUGAAAUUGAACUCGCUGUGAAGAUGCAGUGUACCCGCGGCAAGACGGAAAGACCCCGUGAACCUUUACUAUAGCUUGACACUGAACAUUGAGCCUUGAUGUGUAGGAUAGGUGGGAGGCUUUGAAGCGUGGACGCCAGUCUGCGUGGAGCCAACCUUGAAAUACCACCCUUUAAUGUUUGAUGUUCUAACGUUGGCCCCUUACCGGGGUUGCGGACAGUGUCUGGUGGGUAGUUUGACUGGGGCGGUCUCCUCCCAAAGCGUAACGGAGGAGCACGAAGGUUAGCUAAUCCUGGUCGGACAUCAGGAGGUUAGUGCAAUGGCAUAAGCUAGCUUGACUGCGAGCGUGACGGCGCGAGCAGGUGCGAAAGCAGGUCAUAGUGAUCCGGUGGUUCUGAAUGGAAGGGCCAUCGCUCAACGGAUAAAAGGUACUCCGGGGAUAACAGGCUGAUACCGCCCAAGAGUUCAUAUCGACGGCGGUGUUUGGCACCUCGAUGUCGGCUCAUCACAUCCUGGGGCUGAAGUAGGUCCCAAGGGUAUGGCUGUUCGCCAUUUAAAGUGGUACGCGAGCUGGGUUUAGAACGUCGUGAGACAGUUCGGUCCCUAUCUGCCGUGGGCGCUGGAGAAUUGAGGGGGGCUGCUCCUAGUACGAGAGGACCGGAGUGGACGCAUCACUGGUGUUCGGGUUGUCAUGCCAAUGGCACUGCCCGGUAGCUAAAUGCGGAAGAGAUAAGUGCUGAAAGCAUCUAAGCACGAAACUUGCCCCGAGAUGAGUUCUCCCUGAGACUUUAAGUCUCCUGAAGGAACGUUGAAGACGAUGACGUUGAUAGGCCGGGUGUGUAAGCGCAGCGAUGCGUUGAGCUAACCGGUACUAAUGAACCGUGAGGCUUAACCUU